This 500-nucleotide ribosomal RNA is filed under the name uncultured bacterium. RNAcentral's name for it is "bacterial SSU rRNA". It matches the Rfam family "Bacterial small subunit ribosomal RNA", at positions 1001 to 1512 of the family's 1533-position model. The record is from RNAcentral.
UGGAAACACCCUUCCCUUCGGGGCUCUCUGCAAGGUGCUGCAUGGUUGUCGUCAGCUCGUGCCGUGAGGUGUCGGGUUAAGUCCCAUAACGAGCGCAACCCUUACCGUUAGUUGCCAACAGGUCAAGCUGGGGACUCUAGCGGGACUGCCACCGUAAGGUGAGAGGAAGGUGGGGAUGACGUCAAAUCAGCACGGCCCUUAUGUCCAGGGCUACACACGUGUUACAAUGGCCGGUACAGAGGGCAGCUACUUCGCGAGAAGAUGCUAAUCUUAAAAGCCGGUCUCAGUUCGGAUUGGAGUCUGCAACCCGACUCCAUGAAGUUGGAUUCGCUAGUAAUCGCGCAUCAGCCAUGGCGCGGUGAAUACGUUCCCGGGCCUUGUACACACCGCCCGUCAAACCAUGGGAGCUGGGGGUGCCUGAAGUCUGUGACCGCAAGGAGCGGCCUAGGGUAAAACCAGUGACCGGGGUUAAGUCGUAACAAGGUAGCCGUACCGGAAGG